CUUCUGAACAUUGAUGAAAGGAGGCCUCUGUUUGACAGCCUCGGGACUGAAGGACUGAAGAAGACACUGAUCCCAUCUCUCUUCAAUGAAAGGCUUUCACAAGUGAGCCUGUUCCAAGUUUUUUUCAAAUGUGACGUUCAUGUACUGACAGGCGCUGGGAAAUGCUAGGAAACCAAUCUAAAAUUGCUCAAGGUUUCUACCAAGAUUCUACAAUGGAGUUUCUCUUUCCCUAUACAACAACCACAUCCUUGCCCAACGUACCUCCUCAUAAGUUCAUUUUGAAAGGAGAAAGAUUGAAGCUGAAGGUGGUGAAGCAAUUACCCAUCCAGUAUCAUUCUUCUCUGCCUGAGUCCGGACAAA
Molecule: long non-coding RNA, 360 nt
Organism: Alligator mississippiensis (American alligator)
Lineage: Eukaryota; Metazoa; Chordata; Crocodylia; Alligatoridae
Exons: 3
Source: RefSeq, a predicted model, not a curated record